AUUACUUUAAUAUAUUAGUAUAUUAAAUUUAGAAUUUAAUUAAAUGAUUAUUAAAAAAUCAUAAGUAAUA
RNAcentral lists this transfer RNA (70 nucleotides) under Trichogramma ostriniae. RNAcentral's name for it is "tRNA-Leu". The record is from RNAcentral. Lineage: Eukaryota; Metazoa; Arthropoda; Insecta; Hymenoptera; Trichogrammatidae.